This 286-nucleotide long non-coding RNA is filed under the name Rattus norvegicus (Norway rat). RNAcentral's name for it is "long non-coding RNA NONRATT019965". The record is from RNAcentral. Lineage: Eukaryota; Metazoa; Chordata; Mammalia; Rodentia; Muridae.
AGUGCCCUCACUGUGGCUCAUCAGUUGGAGAGGAGGUGUGGCCAGCACGGCAGUGUCCCCAGAAGCCAGGUGGCCAAAAUGGAUUGCCAAGUCUGUGGGCCUUCUUCCACUGGGCUGGACUUUACCACUUUACUCUGUGUGUAUGUGUGUGUGCGUGCCUGUGUGUGAUAUGUAGACCAGGCUGGCCUUGAACUCCAGAGGUCUGUCUUUCUCUAUCUCCAGAGGACUGGGAUUAAAAGUUUGCACCUUAGGAACAGCUGGCAAUUAUUAGAAGGUUAGCCUAGCA